Zalophus californianus (California sea lion) is the source of this 676-nucleotide long non-coding RNA. RefSeq lists it as uncharacterized. Lineage: Eukaryota; Metazoa; Chordata; Mammalia; Carnivora; Otariidae. The record is from RefSeq and is a predicted model, not a curated record. The transcript has 3 exons.
GUGACAUGGGUCAGGUGGGGCCCUCAGGAUGGGAGUAGUGUCUUUAGAAGAAGAGACACUGAGACUCACCUUCUGCCUCCCCCCGCACCCAGCACACGGUAAGCAGAGGUUCUGGGUGCACACAGACACCUCACCAGGAACCAAAGCUAAAGCACCCUGACGUGGCAGUUGCAGGAUCCAGAAUGGCGGUAUUCAAGGUGAUGACUUGGGCCAUCAGGGAGUUACUCGGCUUUCCUGCUUUCCUGAAUAUCUCCCAUGUAUACUGGAGGUAUACAUGCUACGAAGCCACUUUGUUUUUCUCCUGUGAAUCUUCCAUUACAGGGGGUCCUAGCCAAGAACACAGAAGUAUAGAGGGAAAAAUUUUUUCCACUACCACACAGUGUCUCUCAUUGGCAGACUGCAAAACCCAGAGGGCAGGAGAGCCCACUGCUUUGGUCCACUCGGGCAGUGUUGUUGGGACCAGAACAGUGACAAGGGCUGAUCUGAAGAACAAAUAGAAGGCAUGAAGCUACAAUAUACACUCCCUGGAUGAUCUCAUGCAUUCCUGUAAUUCUGACUACAACCUAUACACAGAUGACCCCAUACCAUUAACUGCACACCAGUGGCUCCCAAAGCUGAGUGCACCUUAUAAUCACUUGGGAAUUCUUUUUUUUUUUUAUUAAAAAAUAAAAACAAA